UACAGAGGUCUCAAGCGUUGUUCGGAUUCACUGGGCGUAAAGGGUGCGCAGGCGGCCAAGUGUGUGAGGCGUGAAAGCCUGGAGCUUAACUCCAGAAUUGCACCUCAAACUACUUGGCUAGAGCAUUGGAGAGGGUAGCGGAAUUCACGGUGUAGCAGUGAAAUGCGUAGAUAUCGUGAGGAACACCAGAGGCGAAGGCGGCUACCUGGACAAUUGCUGACGCUCAGGCACGAAAGCGUGGGGAGCAAAAGGG
This 253-nucleotide ribosomal RNA is filed under the name uncultured bacterium. Its description in RNAcentral is "partial 16S ribosomal RNA". It matches the Rfam family "Bacterial small subunit ribosomal RNA", at positions 524 to 776 of the family's 1533-position model. The record is from RNAcentral.